UAGGGAAUCUUCGGCAAUGGGGGGAACCCUGACCGAGCAACGCCGCGUGAGUGAAGGAGGUUUUCGGAUCGUAAAGCUCUGUUGUUAAGGAAGAACGAGUGUGAGAAUGGAAAGUUCAUGCUGUGACGGUACUUAACCAGAAAGGGACGGCUAACUACGUGCCAGCAGCCGCGGUAAUACGUAGGUCCCGAGCGUUGUCCGGAUUUAUUGGGCGUAAAGCGAGCGCAGGCGGUCAAUUAAGUCUGAUGUGAAAGCCCCAGGCUCAACCGGGGAGGGUCAUUGGAAACUGGUUGCCUUGAGUGCAGAAGAGGAGCGUGGAAUUCCAUGUGUAGCGGUGAUAUGCGUAGAUAUAUGGCGGACCACCAGUGGCGAAGGCGACUCUCUGGUCUGUAACUGACGCUGCGGCUCGAAAGCGUGGGUAGCAAACAGG
This 430-nucleotide ribosomal RNA is filed under the name Bacteroidota bacterium. Its description in RNAcentral is "Bacteroidetes bacterium partial 16S ribosomal RNA". It matches the Rfam family "Bacterial small subunit ribosomal RNA", at positions 355 to 776 of the family's 1533-position model. The record is from RNAcentral. Lineage: Bacteria; Pseudomonadati; Bacteroidota.